CCUACGGGUGGCAGCAGUGGGGAAUAUUGGACAAUGGGCGAAAGCCUGAUCCAGCCAUGCCGCGUGUGUGAAGAAGGCCUUCGGGUUGUAAAGCACUUUCAGUGGGGAAGAAAGCCUUGGGGCUAAUACCCUCGAGGAAGGACAUCACCCACAGAAGAAGCACCGGCUAACUCCGUGCCAGCAGCCGCGGUAAUACGGAGGGUGCGAGCGUUAAUCGGAAUUACUGGGCGUAAAGCGCGCGUAGGCGGUCUGAUAAGCCGGUUGUGAAAGCCCCGGGCUCAACCUGGGAACGGCAUCCGGAACUGUCAGGCUAGAGUGCAGGAGAGGAAGGUAGAAUUCCCGGUGUAGCGGUGAAAGGCGUAGAGAUCGGGAGGAAUACCAGUGGCGAAGGCGGCCUUCUGGACUGACACUGCCGCUGAGGUGCGAAAGCGUGGGUAGCAAACAGGAUUAGAUACCCCUGUAGUC
This 465-nucleotide ribosomal RNA is filed under the name Vreelandella stevensii. Its description in RNAcentral is "partial 16S ribosomal RNA". It matches the Rfam family "Bacterial small subunit ribosomal RNA", at positions 338 to 795 of the family's 1533-position model. The record is from RNAcentral. Lineage: Bacteria; Pseudomonadati; Pseudomonadota; Gammaproteobacteria; Oceanospirillales; Halomonadaceae.